RNAcentral lists this transfer RNA (59 nucleotides) under Wellcomia siamensis. Its description in RNAcentral is "tRNA-Trp". The record is from RNAcentral. Lineage: Eukaryota; Metazoa; Nematoda; Chromadorea; Rhabditida; Oxyuridae.
UUAGAUUUAGGUUAAGGUUAAACUGUUAGUUUUCAAAGCUAAAUAUUUUUAAGUCUAAG